Molecule: transfer RNA, 65 nt
Filed under: Colobus angolensis (Angolan colobus)
Lineage: Eukaryota; Metazoa; Chordata; Mammalia; Primates; Cercopithecidae
Description: tRNA-Thr
Rfam family: tRNA
About the family: Transfer RNA (tRNA) molecules are approximately 80 nucleotides in length.
Source: RNAcentral
GCCCUCGUAGUACAAACUAAUAUAUCGGUCUUGUAAACCGAAGAUGGAGACCUCUCCCUAGGGCA